Long non-coding RNA from Homo sapiens (human), 405 nucleotides. Ensembl annotates it as SCN1A and SCN9A antisense RNA 1. Its record names the gene SCN1A-AS1. The record is from Ensembl. Lineage: Eukaryota; Metazoa; Chordata; Mammalia; Primates; Hominidae.
GAGUUUAAGAAGAGGUUGGUGUUACAUGGAGCAGCAGCACAGUCAAGCAGGGAACAGAUCACGUAAAGCCCUUUAGAGAGUGAAGUCGGCUUUUUAUGCUAGGUGCAACUGGGAGUUCUGAACACGGCAAAGUUGGACAUUCCAAAGAUGGCGUAGAUGAACAUGACCAGGAAGAGCAGGAGGCCGAUGUUAAACAACGCAGGAAGGGACAUCAUCAAAGCAAAGAGCAGCGUGCGGAUCCCCUUUGCUCCUUUGACUAGACGUAGGAUUCGGCCAAUCCUGGCAAGACGGAUCACUCGGAACAGGGUAGGGGACACAAAAUACGUUUCAAUCAAAUCAGCUAGAAACAUACCUGUAUGUGGAGGAAAAUAAUAGAAAUAAAAUAUUUAAAGAUGUAUGCUACCU